GACGAACGCUGGCGGCGUGCUUAACACAUGCAAGUCGAGCGGUAAGGCCCUUUCGGGGGUACACGAGCGGCGAACGGGUGAGUAACACGUGGGUGACCUGCCCUCAGCUCUGGGAUAAGCCUGGGAAACCGGGUCUAAUACUGGAUAUGACUCCAUGACGCAUGUUGUGGGUGGAAAGCCUUGUGCGGCUGAGGAUGGGCCCGCGGCCUAUCAGCUUGUUGGUGGGGUGANGGCCUACCAAGGCGACGACGGGUAGCCGGCCUGAGAGGGCGACCGGCCACACUGGGACUGAGACACGGCCCAGACUCCUACGGGAGGCAGCAGUGGGAAUCUUGCGCAAUGGGCGAAAGCCUGACGCAGCGACGCCGCGUGAGGGAUGA
RNAcentral lists this ribosomal RNA (380 nucleotides) under uncultured bacterium. RNAcentral's name for it is "bacterial SSU rRNA". It matches the Rfam family "Bacterial small subunit ribosomal RNA", at positions 28 to 411 of the family's 1533-position model. The record is from RNAcentral.